This 253-nucleotide ribosomal RNA is filed under the name uncultured bacterium. RNAcentral's name for it is "partial 16S ribosomal RNA". It matches the Rfam family "Bacterial small subunit ribosomal RNA", at positions 524 to 776 of the family's 1533-position model. The record is from RNAcentral.
UACGAGGGGUGCAAGCGUUGCUCGGAAUUAUUGGGCGUAAAGGGUAGGUAGGUGGUCUCAUUUGUCCGGGGUGAAAGCCUUGAGCUUAACUCAAGAAGUGCCUCGGAAACGGUGAGACUCGAGUAUUGGAGAGGCUAGCGGAAUUCCCGGUGUAGCGGUGAAAUGCGUAGAGAUCGGGAGGAACACCAGAGGCGAAGGCGGCUAGCUGGACAAUUACUGACACUCAACUACGAAAGCGUGGGUAGCAAACAGG